Molecule: ribosomal RNA, 450 nt
Filed under: uncultured bacterium
Lineage: Bacteria
Description: bacterial SSU rRNA
Rfam family: Bacterial small subunit ribosomal RNA
Source: RNAcentral
GCUAAGAAUCUUCCGCAAUGGGGGAAACCCUGACGGAGCGACGCCGCGUGGGCGAAGAAGGCCGCAAGGUUGUAAAGCCCUUUUCUGGACGAAGAACGAGGGGGCGAGGAAAUGCGCUCCCGCUGACGUUAGUCCAGGAAUAAGCCCCGGCCAAUUACGUGCCAGCAGCCGCGGUAAUACGUAAGGGGCAAGCGUUGUUCGGAAUUAUUGGGCGUAAAGGGCGUGUAGGCGGAUCGGCAAGUCUGGUGUCAAAGCUGCCGGCUCAACCGGCGGAAGGCGCUGGAAACUGCGGAUCUGGAGUUCAGGAGGGGGAGCUGGAAUUCCUGGUGUAGGGGUGAAAUCUGUAGAUAUCAGGAAGAACACCGGUGGCGAAGGCGAGCUCCUGGCCAUGGACUGACGCUGAGGCGCGAAAGCGUGGGGAGCAAACAGGAUUAGAAACCCUAGUAGUCC